This 404-nucleotide ribosomal RNA is filed under the name uncultured Sphingopyxis sp. RNAcentral's name for it is "bacterial SSU rRNA". It matches the Rfam family "Bacterial small subunit ribosomal RNA", at positions 355 to 776 of the family's 1533-position model. Lineage: Bacteria; Pseudomonadati; Pseudomonadota; Alphaproteobacteria; Sphingomonadales; Sphingopyxidaceae. The record is from RNAcentral.
UGGGGAAUAUUGGACAAUGGGCGAAAGCCUGAUCCAGCAAUGCCGCGUGAGUGAUGAAGGCCCUAGGGUUGUAAAGCUCUUUUACCCGGGAUGAUAAUGACAGUACCGGGAGAAUAAGCUCCGGCUAACUCCGUGCCAGCAGCCGCGGUAAUACGGAGGGAGCUAGCGUUGUUCGGAAUUACUGGGCGUAAAGCGCGCGUAGGCGGUUUUCCAAGUCAGGGGUGAAAGCCCGGGGCUCAACCCCGGAAUAGCCCUUGAAACUGGAAGACUAGAAUCUUGGAGAGGUCAGUGGAAUUCCGAGUGUAGAGGUGAAAUUCGUAGAUAUUCGGAAGAACACCAGUGGCGAAGGCGACUGACUGGACAAGUAUUGACGCUGAGGUGCGAAAGCGUGGGGAGCAAACAGG